RNAcentral lists this transfer RNA (72 nucleotides) under Urocitellus parryii (Arctic ground squirrel). RNAcentral describes it as "Spermophilus parryii (Arctic ground squirrel) tRNA". It matches the Rfam family "tRNA". From Rfam's summary of the family: Transfer RNA (tRNA) molecules are approximately 80 nucleotides in length. Their secondary structure includes four short double-helical elements and three loops (D, anti-codon, and T loops). Further hydrogen bonds mediate the characteristic L-shaped molecular structure. tRNAs have two regions of fundamental functional importance: the anti-codon, which is responsible for specific mRNA codon recognition, and the 3' end, to which the tRNAs corresponding amino acid is attached (by aminoacyl-tRNA synthetases). tRNAs cope with the degeneracy of the genetic code in two manners: having more than one tRNA (with a specific anti-codon) for a particular amino acid; and 'wobble' base-pairing, i.e. permitting non-standard base-pairing at the 3rd anti-codon position. Lineage: Eukaryota; Metazoa; Chordata; Mammalia; Rodentia; Sciuridae. The record is from Rfam by way of RNAcentral. RNAcentral also lists the same sequence under 2 other names.
AGGGAUGUAGCUCAGUGGUAGGGUGCUUGCCUAGCAUGCACAAGGCCCUGGGUUUAAUCCCUAGCAUCACAA